AACGAACGCUGGCGGCAGGCCUAACACAUGCAAGUCGAGCGCCCCGCAAGGGGAGCGGCGGACAGGUGAGUAACGCGUGGGAACGUGCCCUCUUCUACGGAAUAGCCUCGGGAAACUGGGAGUAAUACCGUAUACGCCCUUAGGGGGAAAGAUUUAUCGGAGGAGGAUCGGCCCGCGUUGGAUUAGGUAGUUGGUGGGGUAAUGGCCUACCAAGCCGACGAUCCAUAGCUGGUUUGAGAGGAUGAUCAGCCACACUGGGACUGAGACACGGCCCAGACUCCUACGGGAGGCAGCAGUGGGGAAUCUUAGACAAUGGGCGCAAGCCUGAUCUAGCCAUGCCGCGUGAGCGAUGAAGGCCUUAGGGUUGUAAAGCUCUUUCAGGGGGGAAGAUAAUGACUGUACCCCCACGAAGAAGCCCCGGCUAACUCCGUG
This 432-nucleotide ribosomal RNA is filed under the name uncultured bacterium. RNAcentral's name for it is "bacterial SSU rRNA". It matches the Rfam family "Bacterial small subunit ribosomal RNA", at positions 29 to 507 of the family's 1533-position model. The record is from RNAcentral.